RNAcentral lists this unclassified non-coding RNA (249 nucleotides) under Rhizophagus prolifer. RNAcentral describes it as "partial contains 5.8S ribosomal RNA and internal transcribed spacer 2". The stretch from base 1 to 65 matches the Rfam family "5.8S ribosomal RNA", at positions 84 to 154 of the family's 154-position model. Lineage: Eukaryota; Fungi; Glomeromycota; Glomeromycetes; Glomerales; Glomeraceae. The record is from RNAcentral.
GUGAAUCAUCGAAUCUUUGAACGCAAAUUGCACUCUCUUCGGAGAGUAUGCCUGUUUGAGGGUCAGUAUUAAUAAAAAUCGGCGUGUUGCUUUUUUGUGACGUUCCGGAGUUUGGGUCAUCUUAUAAUAACACCCUUUCAGGGUAUUUUUAAGAGGCCUUUUAUUGACCUUUUUUGUGCUUCUUAGAUGUACAUAUAUUUUUUUUAUUCGUCUUUCUUAAUGCCAUAUUACUUUUAGAUGUGACCAUAU